AAAAGGUUAGAACUAACCAAUUAAGUAGUUGGCCAUCCACCUUGGUUAGCUCUUUGAACUUGUUGUAAUCUUUAGAUGAUUUUGAUUGACAAUUCAGCCUUGAAAUCUGACUUAGCGGAAAACAUUGGGAACCUUGACACUUAAAUUGAACUGGGCUAGACUUGCUCUGAUACCAUAUCAUUGAACUGAGUUGAAUAGGCGGAGGUGAAUGAAUAGGUCGAGGUAAGAGUCUGUGAAGUGUGAGACAGGCUUACUUGGGUUUGGACCAACCAUUGCUUAAAGGUUAGAACUAACCAAUGAGGUAGUUGGUCAUCCGCCCUUAUAAGCCCUUUGAACCUGUAAUUUUUAGAUGCGGGACUCUUGAUAAAACUUGCAAUUAAAAAAUAGGGUUUAGGGUUUCAUUUCCAUUCAUUAACUUCAGUUUGUUGCAAUAAAAUCACUCAACUUUUAUUUUGAAAGUUCUGCUUUACCUGUUUUACCUGUUAUAAUCAGUUUUCCAAUUAAUGAAAGAUAAAAUUACUUAAAUACCCAAUAUUGUAAUAAAGAAUCCUAACUUUCUUGCCUCUUCUUUUCUCUUCCUCUCUC
RNAcentral lists this unclassified non-coding RNA (585 nucleotides) under Hevea brasiliensis (rubber tree). Lineage: Eukaryota; Viridiplantae; Streptophyta; Magnoliopsida; Malpighiales; Euphorbiaceae. The record is from RNAcentral.